Molecule: ribosomal RNA, 458 nt
Filed under: uncultured bacterium
Lineage: Bacteria
Description: partial 16S ribosomal RNA
Rfam family: Bacterial small subunit ribosomal RNA
Source: RNAcentral
AACGAACGCUGGCGGCAUGCCUAACACAUGCAAGUCGAACGAGACCUUCGGGUCUAGUUGCGCACGGGUGCGUAACGCGUGGGAACCUGCCCUUAGGUUCGGAAUAACUCCCCGAAAGGGGUGCUAAUACCGGAUAAUGUCUUCGGACCAAAGAUUUAUCGCCUUUGGAUGGGCCCGCGUUGGAUGAGCUAGUUGGUAGUGUAAAAGCCUACCAAGGCGACGAUCCAUAGCUGGUCUGAGAGGAUGAUCAGCCACACUGGGACUGAGACACGGCCCAGACUACGAAGAGAGGCGGAAGAGGGGAAGAUUGGAGAAGGGGAGCAAGGGGGAUAAAGCAAUAACGCGUGGGGGAAGAAGGAUGUAGGGUUGUAAAGAGUAUUUGUAGAGAAAGAAAAGCAGCAGGUGAAGAACCAGCUGUGAUGACGGUAACAAAAGAAUAAGCACCGGCUAACUUAGUG